CAUCGUUGCCCCAAUGCCUUAGCCUUUUGCAAGGCGUAGUACAAGGGGUGUUGGCUUCCCGCGAGCGAUGCCUCACGGUUGGCUGAAAAUUGAGCCCGUGGUGGAGUGUGCCGCGAUGGAUGGUGGUUGAGUAAAAGCUCGAGACCGAUCGUGUGUGUCACCCCUACCGGAUUUGGGACUCUUUGACCCAUGAGCGGCGUUGGCUGCCCACGACGGGA
Molecule: ribosomal RNA, 218 nt
Filed under: Sophora jaubertii
Lineage: Eukaryota; Viridiplantae; Streptophyta; Magnoliopsida; Fabales; Fabaceae
Source: RNAcentral